GACUCUGUGACAAAGAAGCUGCAGGAAACAGAUUUGAGUUGAUGAUUCGCCCACACCUCCCCAGUCUGUCGGGAUUGAGUUCGACAGGCCCAAGGUUAUAGACGUUGGAGUAUUAGUCUAGUCAGAUUACAUUCGGAAAGAGAACACGUACCAACAAGGAACCCACCUCAUGACUCGGCAUUCGAGGAGAUUGUCACUAAUGUCAGUGCCAGCUGAGGCGGUGAUUGCUAGAUUCCACAGCAACGACCCUUAAAGUGACCAUACGGUGAUACUGAUUUUUAUGAAAGAUUAGCAUUUGUGUGAGCUCAGUCCUGUGCUGGCUUAAUUAUUUGUUCCCGUUGAUGGAAGCAUACGGGGAACUGUAUGACGUCAUUCUGCGUUCCUGUCGAGACGUCAUUUGUGGCAAAGGACGCCCGAGCCAAAAGAGAUCAUCUGUGAACUUGACCAAGGUCCUCUAGUUGAAGCCUCUUGUUCUGGCAGGGAAGGAAGACAUGUAGGGAUGAGAGGUGUGGCCGCCUCUGUCAUCCUGACGAUGAGUGUCCUCCUAACGUCAGCUCUUGAGACUGGCAUUGACAAAGGUGAGU
Aplysia californica (California sea hare) is the source of this 584-nucleotide long non-coding RNA. RefSeq lists it as uncharacterized. The record is from RefSeq and is a predicted model, not a curated record. NCBI's taxonomy places the organism in Eukaryota, Metazoa, Mollusca, Gastropoda, Aplysiida, Aplysiidae. The transcript has 3 exons.